Rhodamnia argentea is the source of this 407-nucleotide long non-coding RNA. RefSeq lists it as uncharacterized. The record is from RefSeq and is a predicted model, not a curated record. The transcript is spliced from 2 exons. NCBI's taxonomy places the organism in Eukaryota, Viridiplantae, Streptophyta, Magnoliopsida, Myrtales, Myrtaceae.
UCUUAAACUUGUCUGAUCCAUAGCUUGCUGCUUCAGCUUGUCUUUUAAAAUUCAUGCUUAUUGGAGGUCUUAGCUUAGUCAUCUUGGAACUAUUUGUAGGGGCACUACGGCACUAGUUAGGCUAAAUCUUGGAAAAUCAUGACCAUUGCAGUUUGUCCAUCUUAAUUUUAAGCAUAAAAGGUUUCUAGUUAACAUCCUGUCGCAUCUGUCGUUGCAAGUCAAGCUAUCAUGUAGAUUCGUUUAGCAACUUAACUUUUCUGAGGGGAACUUUGGAUAUAUAGUCUUCUGGUCAUAAGUUAAAGCGGAGAUGCUGGGGCACAUGCAGCUUAGUUCUGGAAAAGUUUUUGAAAUUGUAGCUUUUUAAUCCAAGUCUGUCGUGCUACUGUAAAUUAGUCUGUUUUUCCUAA